Molecule: ribosomal RNA, 353 nt
Filed under: uncultured bacterium
Lineage: Bacteria
Description: bacterial SSU rRNA
Rfam family: Bacterial small subunit ribosomal RNA
Source: RNAcentral
GGACGAACGCUGGCGGCGUGCUUAACACAUGCAAGUCGAGCGGUAAGGCCCUUUCGGGGGUACACGAGCGGCGAACGGGUGAGUAACACGUGGGUGACCUGCCCUCAGCUCUGGGAUAAGCCCGGGAAACUGGGUCUAAUACUGGAUAUGACUCCAUGACGCAUGUUGUGGGGUGGAAAGCCUUGUGCGGCUGAGGAUGGGCCCGCGGCCUAUCAGCUUGUUGGUGGGGNGAUGGCCUACCAAGGCGACGACGGGUAGCCGGCCUGAGAGGGCGACCGGCCACACUGGGACUGAGACACGGCCCAGACUCCUACGGGAGGCAGCAGUGGGGAAUCUUGCGCAAUGGGCGAAAG